This 175-nucleotide ribosomal RNA is filed under the name Olea europaea subsp. europaea. RNAcentral describes it as "SSU_rRNA_bacteria". Lineage: Eukaryota; Viridiplantae; Streptophyta; Magnoliopsida; Lamiales; Oleaceae. The record is from RNAcentral.
AUGUGGUUUAAUUUGAUGCAAAGCGAAGAACCUUACUAGGACUUGACAUGCCGCGAAUCCUCUUGAAAGAGAGGGAUGCCUUCGAGAACGCGGACAACGAACAAAAAUACGGGUGACGAAUUGAAGUGAGAAUAUUACCAAGAUUAAGAGAGUAAUCUUAUAUUGAAAUUCACAU